ACGGAAUACGACAUCAAAAGUCAUAUAAAGGAGGACUUGGACGUAAUAGUGACCCAUUUUCACAAUGAAGCCGAAUCUAAGACAUGCACACAUCGCCCGUCACUCUCGCCUAAAGGCGAGAUAAGUCGUAACAAAGUAGGUGUAACGGAAGUUGCACCUGU
This 161-nucleotide ribosomal RNA is filed under the name Allolobophora chlorotica. RNAcentral's name for it is "partial 12S ribosomal RNA". It matches the Rfam family "Bacterial small subunit ribosomal RNA", at positions 1288 to 1520 of the family's 1533-position model. The record is from RNAcentral. Lineage: Eukaryota; Metazoa; Annelida; Clitellata; Crassiclitellata; Lumbricidae.